GUAGGUGAACCUGCGGAAGGAUCAUUACAGUAGUCACCCAGGUUGCCGCAAGGCCUCCUGGGUAACCUACCACCCUUUGUUUAUUACACUUUGUUGCUUUGGCAAGCCUGCCCUCGGGCUGCUGGCUCCGGCCGGCGAGCGCUUGCCAGAGGACCUAAACUCUGUUUGUCUAUACUGUCUGAGUACUAUAUAAUAGUUAAAACUUUCAACAACGGAUCUCUUGGUUCUGGCAUCGAUGAAGAACGCAGCGAAAUGCGAUAAGUAAUGUGAAUUGCAGAAUUCAGUGAAUCAUCGAAUCUUUGAACGCACAUUGCGCCCCCUGGUAUUCCGGGGGGCAUGCCUGUCCGAGCGUCAUUACAACCCUCAAGCUCAGCUUGGUAUUGGGCCCCGCCGACCCGGCGGGCCCUAAAGUCAGUGGCGGUGCCGUCCGGCUCCGAGCGUAGUAAUUCUUCUCGCACUGGAGGUCCGGUCGUGUGCUCGCCAGCAACCCCCAAUUUUUUCAGGUGACCUCGGAUCAGUAGGA
RNAcentral lists this ribosomal RNA (523 nucleotides) under Pseudogymnoascus roseus. RNAcentral describes it as "eukaryotic LSU rRNA". The stretch from base 201 to 354 matches the Rfam family "5.8S ribosomal RNA". The record is from RNAcentral. Lineage: Eukaryota; Fungi; Ascomycota; Leotiomycetes; Thelebolales; Thelebolaceae.